GAUGAAUGCUGGCGGCGUGCCUAACACAUGCAAGUCGAGCGGCAGCGAGGGGUGCUUGCACCCUGUCGGCGAGCGGCGAACGGCUGAGUAACGCGUAGGAAUUUGCCCCAAAGUGAGGAAUAACUGCCCGAAAGGGUAGCUAAUGCCGCAUAUGGUCUUCGGAUUAAAGGAUUUAUCCGCUUUGGGAGAAGCCUGCGUUGGAUUAGGUUGUUGGUAGGGUAAUGGCCUACCAAGCCGACGAUCCAUAGCUGGUCUGAGAGGAUGAUCAGCCAGACUGGAACUGAGACACGGUCCAGACUCCUACGGGAGGCAGCAGUGAGGAAUCUUCCACAAUGGGCGAAAGCCUGAUGGAGCAACGCCGCGCGAAGGAUGAAGGCCUUCGGGUUGUAAACUUCUUUUAUGAGUGAAGAAUAUGACGGUAACUCAUGAAUAAGCACCGGCUAACUACGUG
RNAcentral lists this ribosomal RNA (451 nucleotides) under uncultured bacterium. RNAcentral's name for it is "partial 16S ribosomal RNA". It matches the Rfam family "Bacterial small subunit ribosomal RNA", at positions 28 to 507 of the family's 1533-position model. The record is from RNAcentral.